CCGAGUUUACAACUCCCAAACCCCUGUGAACAUACCUUUUGUUGCUUCGGCGGGAUCGCCCCGGCUGCCCUGCGCGCCGGAUCAGGCCCCCGCCGUAAGACCCAAAACUCUGUUUUUAUAGUUAUUCUUCUGAGUGGCUUUAAGCAAAAAUAAAUUA
RNAcentral lists this unclassified non-coding RNA (157 nucleotides) under uncultured fungus. RNAcentral's name for it is "sequence contains ITS1, 5.8S rRNA gene". Lineage: Eukaryota; Fungi. The record is from RNAcentral.